GAUCAUGGCCUGAGCCGAAGUCAGAUGCCUAACCGACUGAGCCACCCAGGCGCCCAACCUAACUUCAAUUUUAAAGAGAGGAAGAUAAAAACCUUUUCCCACACUGCAUGCGGAAAAUGAGUCAGCUUCAUUUCAGCCCAGGAAACAUUUAUUCUGUGUCUACUGUCUACCUACCAGAUAUUACAACAUGUUCAAUAUACAAACAAGAAAUCAAAUAUCGCGGGGCAAGUGUUUUAAAUAAACAAGGAAUGUGUCUAGAAGGGUGUAAGACAAAAUUGCCAAAGGUUUAUACUGCAGAGUAAGAUUACAUGACGUUUUCUCAUUUUGCUUGUCUAUUCUCAAAUGUGUAUUGUGAUAUAUAUUUGUGUGAAUGUGCGUGUGUGUGUGUGUCCCUUAUAUGACAUUCCUAUCCACAUUUGAUCCUCAACCUCCUUUGUAAACUUUAUUUCUGCUUUCUCUCUCCAUAAUUCAUAUAUCCUCUGAUUAAUAGCAUAUUUGUGGGAAGGAGCAUUUUGUACAUCAGUUUUUUACUCUAUUUCCUAUCCCUGCUGAUGGCCUGCUAUUGUCAAUUUAAAUAUCACCUGCUUCAAACAGUCCCGCAUUAUGUGUGAAAACCUCUCUGACCCUGAAUUCCUAAACCUUAUUUCUCUCAGUGCUGAGCAUUUUGUGAUACGGUGUCUUGCAUUGCUAUUUUACUUAAUACCUUACCCUAUAUGGUACUUUACUUUCAUAACAAUUUUACAUAAAUUAUCUUAUUUCAUUCUGUGAAAUAAGGUAGAUAUGAUCUCUGUCUUCUGUGUGGGAAAAGAGCAGUAUUAAGUGACUUGCUUACACUUCUGAGGAGCCAAGGCCAAGAACAUAGGUUUCUGACUCUUGAUAUAAUUUGAUUUUCAUUAAAUGGAGCCACACUUAGUUUACUUUUGCUCUCUGACAAAACUGUAUAUCAACUCUAUGAGCUCAGGAACUCUUUAGAAGUCAAGAAUAUAGUGUACACAAUAGGUGCUCAGUAAAAUCAUUGAUUAAUGUUUUGACAAGAUCUAUAAAGCAAAUCAACAUAAAUCAAAGCAAAUUUCCUGGCUAAUUAAGAGAUAACCUCUUCAAUAUUAAAAUCUUCAGGUCUGUCUUUCUUCAAGAUUUUAAAAUUCUAUUUGUAGGUAUUUGCAUUUGUUUAAGAUAUAAGGAAGAUAUUUAGAGAAAAAAAAAUCAGCAUUUAGAAAGAGAAGGCAACACUUUUAUUCACCUGAAGGGAAAAUUUACUAGUGGAAUGACUGGUUGAGAAGGAGAGAGCAGCGUAACUGGCAAAAACCCUCACUGUAGUAGGAGAAAAGGAAAUCCAGGGAAGAAGAAAGCACCAUGAAAUGCCAUGAUGUUGGGAUUUGUUCUGGAUUUUGUAUAUUUCUGACAAGGGUGGAGAGAGCAGGACCUCACAGAAACAAAGCAAUAUUCGACACGGUUUAUAAGCUACUGAUAAAAUCUCUGCUCACUGGUGGUUUCCCAAGUGGACAACAACUUAGCAGGCCAAUCAAAGAGUGGUAAAAUUUCAUGUGGAGCUCUGAGACUUCUGUCUUAGUUGGCUGGAGUCAGGAACAAGGUGAACUGCCCACAAGCUAAGGACAAGCAAUACCCAGGGGAGAGUAAACAUUUUUCUCAUUGCAGCAAAAGACUAAAUCUAGUUAUGCAAACAAUGACGACAGUGAGUGGGGAUACUGAUGGAUAAAAUACAUACUGUACAAUUCAUUCAAUCUUUGUGAAUCGUAUAAUCUGAAAAUAAUUUUUAUGUUAUAAUGAGUAAUUGAAAUAAAUUCAUACAAUUUUUGUUUUGCACAAAAGUAAUAGUGGCUAGAAGCAUAGGCUUUACACCCCCUCCUUUCUUGGGUAAUUUCUUAUGGAAUGUACUUUCAUCCAUUCAACACUUAUUUAGCAAGCACUGUAUAUACCAGCUCCAAUAGUAGGCCCUGGAGUUGUAACUGUGAAGUAAACAGACCCGAGCUCAGGUCUGGAAACUGGGCACAACAGUAUCGUGACUUUUUAUUAUAAUGACCUUCUCAACCUCCUAAUUAUCCAUCCUUAAUGGAUACCCUUGGUAGCUGCCCGUCUUCCUAGUCCCUUUGUAUGCUACAUUCUAUUAACUCUCUCCAUAGUUCUCUGCAAUACAGGCAUCCCCUCCUGCCGCCCAGUAUGAUAAUUGUGCCUACCUCGCUUCUGAUCAGACCUAUUUCAAAGCAUCAGCAGCUUCAGGAUUUCUCUCUUGAGCCAAAGAAAAGUAGAGCUUUCUCUAACCUUCUUACAAAAGAGCACAUACAGCCCAGAUCCGUAGACCUAGUUUACCAGAUAAAGCAGCUCCAGCUUCCUGUGUAUUUUGCAGCAUUGAGAACAAUCAUGUUGUGGGUUCCGAAGUACCAAACAUGGCUUCCGCUGCCCGGCCCCAGAGAGGCCCUGGAGAGUGAUAAAAUUUGAAUUAUUCACAGCAAUUAGUACCAGCACUGCACUGGGACUCACAUUUCAGCCCAAGCUUUUAAGAGGGCUGACCUCGGUGGUCUGCUAUAUGAAAGAGCUUCAGUAAUCAUGAUCCAUCAUGGGAAAAAGAAGUUAUCAGGCAAGAGGAUGUGAGGGGAACAAUUAUAUGGAUGGAAAACAUCUUCAUUAUCAAAGAAACAGACUCGGGAAGGGGAUGUGCUGGCAUCACACCUACCAAGACGAGCAGGGAGGGGAACAGGACGAGGUAGAGCUGAAGAAAUGGGGCUGCAGAAGUUGGUGAAUUUGGCCCGAGUGGCCAGGCAGUCCCAGGCGCCAUUCACAGGUUGUGGACAAUUAGCAGAUGUUUCUUUUUCCAGUGUGGAAGCUGAGGAAUGGAUCAAGAUGGCGGCAUGAGCAGAGACUUCUAAGAACCUGCUGAUUUUACAAAUAUGGCAGCUAUGCCUCAGCAAAUUAUAAGCAAUAAUGAAUUAGUUAAUUUUCUUCAGUGAAAACUGCUAUG
Leopardus geoffroyi (Geoffroy's cat) is the source of this 2977-nucleotide long non-coding RNA. RefSeq lists it as uncharacterized. The transcript has 7 exons. Lineage: Eukaryota; Metazoa; Chordata; Mammalia; Carnivora; Felidae. The record is from RefSeq and is a predicted model, not a curated record.